AUUCUUCUUCCCUUUAAAUAUUGGUACCUCCAAUUUCUAUAGCCUCAUGUCGAAGAGGGGCAUCUCUCGAUGAUUUGGUGCACACAGUACUCCAACUUCUUCAUCCCCAACCGGGGAGGUGAUUGUAGACAUAGGAAGGAUUGGGCAUCAAAAAGAACAAAGACCCAUGAAUUCUAUAAAUAAGUACCUCAACGUUGGUUCUCUUUGCAAAUCCAAUGAAGCUAUACAACCGUGAGAGAGAUUGAUUCGAUUUUCUAGGAUUCUUUCGGAGCAGAAUAAAAAAGCAACUAUGACGAAUUUGACUAGCAUUUAACAUUAGAAGCAAUAGGAGCAGAACUUUGCAACGGCGUUCUUGAAGCACUACAUACAGGAGAGAAAUUAAGGGUUUUUUUGUUGCAGUGCAGAAAGUAUGAGAGAAUUUUGAAAGGAGUGGGCCUUUAUAGCCAUUAAGGAUGAUGUCUAAUUGCUCGUUGUCUUGAAGACUUGGCAAAGGAGUCGGAAUCAAUCAGCAUUGAGGAUGGUCAUGGGCCCAUUGCAGAGGGAUGGCAGUCAACCAUGUUGAGGAUGAGGCUAGAAUUUUGUUUGAAGUAGAGACAAUGGAGGAAACGACAGCCAAGGCAACCAUAAUGAAGAGACUAAGAGAAGCUUGCAAUUUCCAAGGGGAAAGAGAGAAAGUGAAAUGAAAAGGGAAAUGCCAAUUAAAAGUGAAUUUAACUUUUAAAUGAGAAGGAAAUGUAAAUUUCAACUGGCGCCUAUUUUUUCUACAUCUUUUCAAUAGCUGUUUUUUUCUUCCUUCUUUUGGUAACCAAUGGCUAUUGUUGCUGUAGUGUCUGUUUACAGCCAACAAGACUGAUAAAUCCCCUAACUAAUUACCGAUACACUCUUCAUAACAUUCCUAUCAUUAUGGAUAUUGAUAUAGUGAUCUGACUUUUCACCCUA
This is a long non-coding RNA of Cucumis sativus (cucumber), 939 nucleotides long. RefSeq lists it as uncharacterized. The transcript is spliced from 2 exons. Lineage: Eukaryota; Viridiplantae; Streptophyta; Magnoliopsida; Cucurbitales; Cucurbitaceae. The record is from RefSeq and is a predicted model, not a curated record.